RNAcentral lists this ribosomal RNA (245 nucleotides) under uncultured bacterium. RNAcentral's name for it is "partial small subunit ribosomal RNA". It matches the Rfam family "Bacterial small subunit ribosomal RNA", at positions 26 to 285 of the family's 1533-position model. The record is from RNAcentral.
AGAAUCAACGCUGGCGGCGUGCCUAACACAUGCAAGUCGAACGAGAAAGUGGAGCAAUCCAUGAGUAAAGUGGCGCACGGGUGAGUAACACGUGACUAACCUACCCUCGAGUGGGGAAUAACCUGGGGAAACCCGGGCUAAUACUGCAUAAUACCCACGGGUCAAAGGAGCAAUUCGCUUGAGGAGGGGGUCGCGGCAGAUUAGUUAGUUGGCGGGGUAAUGGCCCACCAAGACGAUGAUCUGUA